This 916-nucleotide ribosomal RNA is filed under the name uncultured archaeon. Its description in RNAcentral is "bacterial SSU rRNA". It matches the Rfam family "Archaeal small subunit ribosomal RNA", at positions 1 to 921 of the family's 1478-position model. The record is from RNAcentral.
UUCCGGUUGAUCCUGCCGGAGGUCACUGCUAUUGGAGUUCGAUUAAGCCAUGCGAGUCAAGAGUUCUUCGUGAACUCGGCGGACUGCUCAGUAACACGUGGGUAAUCUACCCUCGGGUCAGGGAUAACCCCGGGAAACUGGGGAUAAUACCUGAUAGGUGAAGAUGUCUGGAAGGAUGCUUCGCCCAAAGCUCCGGCGCCCGAGGAUGAGCCUGCGGCCGAUUAGGUUGUUGGCGGUGUAACGGACCACCAAGCCUGUGAUCGGUACGGGUGGUGAGAGCCAUAGCCCGGAGAUGGGGGCUGAGACACGGCCCCAGGCCCUACGGGGCGCAGCAGGCGCGAAAACUACGCAAUGCGCGAAAGCGUGACGUGGGAACUCCAAGUGCCCUGCCUUCGGGUAGGGCUUUUGACUAGUGUAAGAAGCUAGUCGAAUAAGUGCUGGGUAAGACCGGUGCCAGCCGCCGCGGUAACACCGGCAGCACAAGUGGUGACCGCUUUUAUUGGGCCUAAAGCGUCCGUAGCCGGUCUGGUAAGUCCUUGGGUAAAUCCUCAGGCUCAACCUGAGGAAUUCCGGGGAUACUGCCAGACUAGGAGUUGAGAGAGGUCAGAGGUACCUCCGGGGUAGGGGUGAAAUCCGAUAAUCCUGGGGGGACCACCAGUGGCGAAGGCGUCUGACUAGAGCAAGCUCGACGGUGAGGGACGAAAGCCAGGGGCGCGAACGGGAUUAGAUACCCCGGUAGUCCUGGCCGUAAACGCUGCGCGCUAGGUGUUACGUCCUCUACGGGGGGGCGUAGUGCCGAAGAGAAGUUGAUAAGCGUGUCGCCUGGGAAGUAUUACCGCAAGGUAGAAACUUAAAGGAAUUGGCGGGGGAGCACCACAAGGGGUGGAGUCUGCGGUUCAAUUGGAUUCAACGCCGG